UACUUUUAUUUGAGGCCAAUAGAGGGAGACUCCGAUUGGGUGCGGUGGUUACAAGGUUGUGAACGAAGGGGAUGCAAUCCUGUUGCUUUAGUGCUUCCCGUCGUGAAGGAGGUCACUGCACAUGAAGGCGAGGGUGGCUACGAAGGACAGAGCAGUCAGGUAGAAGGAGGAAAUGCUUAUGGUUACGAACAAGAACAGAGCAGUCAGGUAGAAGGAGGAAAUGCUUAUGGUUAUGAACCAGGGCAGAGUAGUCAGGUAGAAGGAGGAAAUGCCGAUGGUGAUUACAAUGGCGAGGUGGAUGCUGACGAGGUAGAUGGGCACAUGCAGAACCAGAUGGAAGAAGAAGACACCGAUGUUGAAAGGGGUCAUGCCGAUGAUUCUGACGAGUCAGAUGAAGAAGAAAAUGCAGAGGAGGUCACGAAUCCUGCAUGGUGGAAUCAUGACUUCUCAUCUGCAAUGACCGUGAAUGAUGGACAUGAUUCAGCCUGGCAAUAUCACCAGAACAAUAUUGCGACGGGUGCUAUGUAUCCGAACAAGCAAGCCCUGAAGGAUGCAAUAAUUAAUUGGGCAAUGUCCACGCAAAGGGUUUUCACAGCUCAGGUGUCCAGUCAGAAAUUCCUGACAAUGGUAUGCAAGAACGCAGAUUGUCCCGCCAGGGUGCACGGCUUUCUCCCUAAGUAUGGCACAAGUUGGGUGAUAAGUGACUUAGUUAAUCACACUUGUCUUAUUCCCUACAUCCCUCAAGAUCAUGCCAACCUUUCAUCCACGCUUAUUGCUCGAUUGUUUUACAAUGAGAUAGUGCAGGGCAAAGCUAUGGAAGUGAAGGCAGUCCAGACAAAAGUCUUCGCCAGGUUCAAGUACAGAAUUUCUUAUGGCAAGGCUUGGAGGGCUAAGCAUGCGGCGCUUGAGAGGAGAUUUGGUUCUUAUUUUGAUGCAUAUGACUCUGUUGUCCACCUCCUCCACACCCUGCAGCAGCGGAAUCCAGGCACCUAUAUCGAUAUCCAAGACAUGUUCAUGCCAGAGUUCCCAACUGUGAGGGUGUUGCAUCGUCUCUUCUUCUAUUUCGGUGUAUGCAUCGAAGCUUUCAAGCAUUGCCGACCGGUGAUAUGUGUUGACGGUACUUUUCUCACAGGCAAGUACAAGGGUCAGAUCCUGACAGCCAUAGGUCAAGACGGCCAAAAUCAAGUCGUCCCACUGGCAUUUGCUUUUGUGGAGAGUGAGAAC
RNAcentral lists this ribosomal RNA (1224 nucleotides) under Triticum aestivum (bread wheat). RNAcentral describes it as "partial small subunit ribosomal RNA". The record is from RNAcentral. Lineage: Eukaryota; Viridiplantae; Streptophyta; Magnoliopsida; Poales; Poaceae.